RNAcentral lists this non-coding RNA (29 nucleotides) under Rattus norvegicus (Norway rat). The record is from RNAcentral. Lineage: Eukaryota; Metazoa; Chordata; Mammalia; Rodentia; Muridae.
UCAGCACAGAUCUUGGGCCAAGAAGGCAG